AAUGGCCUAAGGGCUGAACCAGUAACUUGAAAGAAUGUACAAUGAAUAACUUAUUUAAAGUUCUAGACAUAAAAGGAAUAAUGACUAUUUUUUGUCUAUAAGUAUUGACCAAAUUACGUGCCAGCCGUCGCGGUAAUACGUAAAAUACAAGUGUUAUUCAUCUUUAAUGGGUUUAAAGGGUACCUAGACAGAAAAUCAAGCCAUAAUAGGGACUAAUUUUCUAGAGUUUUAUAUAAGAAAAAAGAAUUGUUAGAGGAGAGAUGAAAUUCAUUGAUACUAACAAGACUGGGAACAGCGAAGGCAUUUUUCUAGGUAAAAACUGACGUCGAGGGACGAAGCCUAGGGUAACGAAAAGGAUUAGAUACCCUAAUAGUCCUAGGAGAAAAUUAUGAAUGCCAUAGGCUAGAUCUUUUGGCCUAUAAAUGAAAGUGUAAGCAUUUCACCUUACAAGUAAAGCGGCAACGCCGAAACUGAAAUCAUUAGACCGUUACUGAAAACAGUAGUGAAGUAUGUUAUUUAAUUCGAUGGUCCGCGAAUAACCUUACCACAAUUUGAAUAUUAUUAAAUUAUUACAAGUGCUGCACGGCUGUCUUCAGCUUGUGUCGUGAGAUUUUGGUUAGAUCCAUUAAUAAGCGAAAACCCUUACUUUAUUUAAUUUAAUUUUUAAGUAAUAAACCUCUUUUUUUAUUAAUUUAAAAUUCGUUAAUAGAGUAGUUCGCCACUAUAUUGGUAUGAUAAAAGGGAUUAAGACAAGUCAUCAUGGCCUUAAUAUUGUGGGCUAUAGACGUGCCACAUCUGCCUUUACAAAGGGAUGC
RNAcentral lists this ribosomal RNA (815 nucleotides) under Pyrenula nitida. RNAcentral describes it as "SSU rRNA". It matches the Rfam family "Bacterial small subunit ribosomal RNA", at positions 370 to 1250 of the family's 1533-position model. The record is from RNAcentral. Lineage: Eukaryota; Fungi; Ascomycota; Eurotiomycetes; Pyrenulales; Pyrenulaceae.